Molecule: RNA transcript, 2774 nt
Organism: Cyprinodon tularosa
Lineage: Eukaryota; Metazoa; Chordata; Actinopteri; Cyprinodontiformes; Cyprinodontidae
Gene: khdrbs2
Gene name: KH domain containing, RNA binding, signal transduction associated 2
Exons: 15
Source: RefSeq, a predicted model, not a curated record
GGGGGGGGAGCACAGGCUGCAGACCCCCUGAGUCUGAUGAGAGUCUGGCGGCUCUUUUCCAGAGGAGAAGCAGCGGAGAUGGGCUCACACCUCUGAUUCACUCUUCAUCCUUCAGCUUAUUUAUUUUUUCCUCAAAGACCUGGAACGAUAUAAUAUCCAGAAGGGUGUUUUUUAGCCGCUUCUGUCCAGACGGACGGAUAGACUCCAUCUGAUCGCAGGAGGAACCAGUUUUAGUUGCAUUCCGACGCUUAGUUCUCACCUAGAGAAGAGAGGCGCGCUGCGAUCAUCAUGCACCCAAAUAAGUGCUUACCUGAACUGAUGGCCGAGAAAAACAGCCUGGACCCUUCCUUUGUUCACGCGGUUCGGCUUCUAGCAGAUGGUAAGCAAGAGAUCGGAAAGUGCGAAGGGGAUGAGCUGAAAAAAGAUAAUGACACGAAAAAAUACCUUGACAUUAUCAGCAAUAAAAACAUCAAGCUUUCUGAAAGGGUUCUUAUACCUGUCCAACAGUAUCCAAAGUUUAACUUUGUAGGGAAGCUGCUUGGACCGCGGGGGAAUUCUAUGAAAAGAUUACAAGAGGAGACAGGAGUGAAGAUGUCCAUCCUUGGCAAAGGGUCUAUGAGGGAUAAAGAGAAGGAAGAAGAGUUACGAAAAAGCGGGGAGGCAAAAUAUACCCACCUGAGUAAUGAAUUACACGUUUUAAUUGAAGUCUUCGCUCCACCGGGAGAGGCCUAUUCUCGCAUGAGUCAUGCCCUGGAGGAAAUUAAAAAAUUUCUUGUUCCAGACUACAAUGAUGAGAUUAGGCAAGAGCAGCUGAGAGAGUUAUCCCUGCUGAACGGAUCUGAUGAGUCGAGCAGAGGGAGGAGCACACAAGGGAGGACCCUAAGGACAACAACCACAGCAUCCACAAUGGGCCACAGAGGUGUAAGCAGAAGAGCAGCAGCUCCUCGAGGGACAGCUGCAUCCACACACAGCAAACUUCCCACAACAGUCCUUACAAGGGAUUUGCAGGCUUCGAGGGCCAGGGGGGCAACAGCAAACGCUGGAUACAGGCCCCCGCUGUUAGCAGUCACACAUGAAUCAUAUGAUGACUAUGGUUACGAAGAUGGAUAUGAUGAAGAAUACGAAGAUGAGAGUUACGGAGACUAUAGUGAAAACUACAUCUCUCAGUCAAAAAGUGUUUUAGAAUAUCAUAAAUAUGGACACGGAAGCAGUAAUGAAUCGUACAACAGCUAUGAAGAAGGGUGGACGAGCCCCAGACCUGUUCUCAAAGCUCCGGCCUUACGUCUGACAAGAGGAGGCUACAGAAAGCAUCCCUAUGAUAUUGAAAAACACUGUAGUGUUUUGUCUUCAGCGCAGAGAAGAACACAACAGAUAUUGAAAAACACUGUAGUGUUAUGUCUUCAGCGCAGAGAAGAACACAGCAGGGCUUACAGAAGACACCUGGCUCAAGAUGGAAGAUUUCUCUCACACAUUUUAAUCUUCUUCAAAAGGCAAGGUUCUUGGGCAUGCCUAGCCAGCAUCCUGAGGCACAAUAAAACACUGGCAGCUGUUUGUUUUGCUCCCUUGCCAAGUCUAUCACCUCUGAUAAAAAGUUAGGCAAGCAGAAGCCUGACCGACUACCUGCAGGUGAGUCUCUGACUGUUGGAAUUGCCCCUUUUGGUGGAGAGGGAAGUGAUGAAAGCUUGGCAGGCUAAUGCUUCCAGGACCCUUUCAGGAAUGAUGGAAAUAACAGAGGAGGACCAGUUUUCCAGGUGAUGGAUCCUUUAAACACUCCUUGACUUUCUAAAAGAUUUAAUAUAAUGGCAAAAUAUUUUUCUUAUAUUUGUGGAAAUACUUCUGUUGAUUUGUUAUUAAUGGCAUGUCCUCUAAAAGUCAAAUGGAAAUGAAUAUGUAUGAUUGAUAGUAAACCUCCCACAGCUUGAGCUAAUAUCAACACAUUCUCUGGUCAUGUAAUGAUGCCAUCUGCUCGUGUUGAAAAUUUCUGGAAGAGAGCUAGAUAUCCUCAGUGUGCAGCACUAAGUGCUCGCCAGUUCUGCUAAGCGACUGCAAACAAAUAAAUGAUGCCUGCCAAGUCCUGUGCUAAGUCUCUUAUUUGCUUUAGUAAUUGUGCACUUUUUGUUCAAAGCAUAACAAAAGCUUGUCUGGAAGGGUCUAGGUGAGAGCGAUAAGCUUUAUCUUACCUCUAUAUCUAUUUCAAGGACAAGUUGAUUGUCUUGGGCUAAAAGCUGCAUCUCCAUACAAAAAUGUCACCCUAGAUAUUGUAAGCUGUUUGACAGAUUAUAACCAGGGGAUUCACAAAGAGACAGCCAGUAGAUCUAGGAGAAUUACCGAGCUACAUUCUAUGCACACCCAGCCCAAACAUCAAGUGUUAUUUAUCAUAUUCAACAAAAACUAUUCACAUGCACUGUUAUAUGAUUUUUUUUGUGAAUAUUUUAAAAACAUUAUUGUAGAAGUGCUUGAAGGAAUAGACUUACCUUAUAGAAAUUUAAACAUCUGCAGGGUUGUUGAUGAGAAGAUUAUUUCUGGUGAAAAAAAUAAUGUAAUCACAGUUAAUACAGACUUUAUUGCUCAUAAUAAAUGUACAGUGCAUUUAUAUGUGUGUUCUGCAUUCAACCCAUGCCUAAGGGAGCAGUGGGUAGCAUGCAGCACCCUGGGGAGCAAGCCGCAGUCUUGGGAUUGAGCCAGAUACUAUACAGAACUAAAGAAUACUUUGUAGAGGAUCGACUGGAGACCAAGUGGACUAUAAAAUUUAUAUAAAAAGUGCUCUUUUUCAG